AAAAGCUUUCUUUAAUUGAAUAAUUGAAUUUAAUUUUUUAGUGCAAAAGCAAAAAUAAAAAUUAGGGACAAGAAGACCCUAUGAAUUUUUUAUUAAAUUUUAUAAAACUUUUUAUAAAAUUUAAUUUAAUUGGGGUGAUGGAAAAAGAAUAAAUAUCUUUUUUUUAAAAAAAAUUGGUUCCGUUUUUAGCGAUUAAAUGAAAAAAAUACUCUAGGGAUAACAGCGUAAUAAUUUUGGAUAGUUCAUAUAGAUAAAAUAGUUUGCGACCUCGAUGUUGGAUUAGGAUUCUUUUUUGGUGAAGAAGUUAAAAAAA
RNAcentral lists this ribosomal RNA (313 nucleotides) under Ixodes ricinus (castor bean tick). Its description in RNAcentral is "partial large subunit ribosomal RNA". The record is from RNAcentral. Lineage: Eukaryota; Metazoa; Arthropoda; Arachnida; Ixodida; Ixodidae.